UACGAACGCUGGCGGCGUGCUUAACACAUGCAAGUCGAACGAGAAGAGAUGAGAAGCUUGCUUCUUAUCAAUUCGAGUGGCAAACGGGUGAGUAACGCGUAAGCAACCUGCCCUUCAGAUGGGGACAACAGCUGGAAACGGCUGCUAAUACCGAAUACGUUCUUUUUGUCGCAUGGCAGAGGGAAGAAAGGGAGGCUCUUCGGAGCUUUCGCUGAAGGAGGGGCUUGCGUCUGAUUAGCUAGUUGGUAAGGUAACGGCUUACCAAGGCAACGAUCAGUAGCCGACCUGAGAGGGUGACCGGCCACAUUGGGACUGAGACACGGCCCAA
Molecule: ribosomal RNA, 328 nt
Filed under: uncultured bacterium
Lineage: Bacteria
Description: bacterial SSU rRNA
Rfam family: Bacterial small subunit ribosomal RNA
Source: RNAcentral